GUUGCUAGGGCAACCUUUCUGCUCAGCACUUCAUUGCCAAGGUGACCGAUUUGCUACUGGUCCAGGAAACUGGAGAGCAAAAUAGCAUUGUGCUUCAGCAGAAGAAAGAAGGCCCAGCUGAGAUGUUUCCAGGCUUGGGCUGAUACAGAUAAUGCUAUGAACACGUGUGUAACGCUAUGGACAAGUGUGUACGAGUCAUUUGUGUGGACAUAUGCUUCCAGUUAUUUUUGGCAAACAGGAGCCUAGGAUAACUAGAUCACGUGGAUGGUGACCUCACUGUUUGUGAAGAACUACCAAACUGUUUUCCGAAAUGGUUGUUCAGUCUAUGAUCCUGCCAGCCAGGUAGGCAUUGUGGCGUAUGUUUGCAACCUUAGCCUCCAGGAGACCAAGGUAAGAGAACCAAGAGUUUGGGGUCAGCCUGGGCUACACAGGGAGACCCUGUCUUCCAACUUGUUCUUCAGAAAAGGUAUUUCGGUAAUUGUAAAUCCUUUGCCUUUCCAUAGGGUCAGUUUGCUGAUGGGUGUGCAUGAGUGUGCAUGUGUGUGCAUGUGUGUGCAUGUGUGUGCAUGUGUGUGCAUGUGUAUGCAUAUGAUUGUGCAGAUGCAGGCACACAGAGCUCAGGGUGGGACAUUGAUUUCGGGUGUCUUCUACCCUUUCUAUAUUCUGUCUUGAACACAGGUUCUCGGUGAAUCAGAGACUUCGAAUCUCAGUUAUGUUGAUGGCAGCAAAGGCACAGGAUCUACACGUCUCUGUCCCAUAAUGCCAGAGCUGCAGGCACCUGCAGCCAUGCCUGGCUUUUUACAUUAGUGCUGGGAUUCAAACUUGGGUCCUCAUAGAACAUGGACUCUGACCUACUGACCCAUCAUCCAGUCUGUUAAUGCUCAUUAAAAUCCUGCUGGGAUUUUUGACUGGGAUUGUACUGGGUUGACAGAUCCACUGGAGAGAAUGUACAGCCUAAUGCUGCUAAGUGUUCUAGCACACUCAGAACACACCUCUCAGCUGGGCUUCUUCCUGGUCCAUGUGAAGGUCUUUCACAUAUUCUGAUACAGUUUUUAUUAUCAUUAUCAUCAUCAUCAUCAUUAUUAUUAUUACUUAUACAGUUAUUAUUUCUAUUAUCACUAUUAUUGUUAUUUUUUGCUGCUAUUUUCAGUGAGGUCUAUUUAAUUGUCUACUCUUUGCUAUUAGGAAGAAACAAAGUUGGGUUUUGUACAUUUCCUUUUAUGACUUAUACUCUGGCUAGAAGUAAAUGAUUGGGUAGAGUGAUCAGAUUUUCUACCUAGAUGACGAAGCUGAAUGAAGAUAACGAUAGACUUCCUCUCACCCUGUGCCCUCCGUUCCUUGUGCUUCUGAUGCACUAACUGGGACCUUGGGAAGAUGGGCCAGAGCAGCGGGGGUAACAUCCUUGCAGCUUGUCUGAUGUUGGAGGAUUUGAUUGUUACAAAAAUGUGUUAUUACUGAACCUGGUAAAAAAGUUUGUCAUGAUGUAUAAACCGAGAUGGUUAUUAACUACGAGUGUUUUACCGGCUUGUGUGUCUGUGUACAACAUGAGGCCAGAAGAGUGCGUGUGAUCCCCUGAAACUGGAGCUAGUUGGUUGUCAGUUGACACGAGAGUGCUGGGAACUGAACUUGGGUCCUCUGGAAGAGGAGCAAGCACCCUUAAUCACUGAGCCUUCCCCGUAGCCUUAACUUCUAUUUUGUCUGUAAUAAGCCGAGGUAUUUGUUGGCAGUUAACCUCGUGACCCAGUAGAUGGCCCCAUACACAUUCACACAGGGUCAGCACUGAUUGGACUCCGGAAGCUAUUUGUCAUCAGGGAGGUGGGUUGGUAGGGCCUGGAAGAGUUCAAAGGAAAUAAUAGAGGAUGUGUACAUGCGUGAAAUUGUCAAAGAAUAAAUAAAAAUAACAAUAGUGGAUGGGAGAGAGGGCUCAGCACUUAAGAGCACUGGCUGCUCUUCCAAAGGAACAAUCGUCUGUGAUCCGGUUCCAAGGGAUCCGGUGCCCUCUUCUGUCCUCCAAGAGUACCAGGCAUGCAUGUGGUCCACAGACACACAUGCAGGCAAAAUGUUCAUACACAUAAAAUAAACGAUAGAACAAAAAAACAUUAAAAAUAAGUGUACCGA
Molecule: long non-coding RNA, 2118 nt
Organism: Mus musculus (house mouse)
Lineage: Eukaryota; Metazoa; Chordata; Mammalia; Rodentia; Muridae
Product: predicted gene, 37020
Exons: 3
Source: RefSeq, a predicted model, not a curated record